Molecule: ribosomal RNA, 253 nt
Filed under: uncultured bacterium
Lineage: Bacteria
Description: partial 16S ribosomal RNA
Rfam family: Bacterial small subunit ribosomal RNA
Source: RNAcentral
GACAUAGGUCGCGAACGUUAUCCGGAAUUAUUGGGCGUAAAGAGCUCGUAGGCGGCUCAUUGCGUCAACCGUGAAAACCAGCAGCUCAACUGUUGGCUUGCGGUUGAUACGGGUGGGCUGGAGUUCGGUAGGGGAGACUGGAAUUCCUGGUGUAGCGGUGAAAUGCGCAGAUAUCAGGAGGAACACCGGUGGCGAAGGCGGGUCUCUGGGCCGAUACUGACGCUGAGGAGCGAAAGCGUGGGGAGCGAACAGG